UUUGUUUAGCACAACGCUAAACAUUUAAUGAUGGAGUAAGUUGAAUGGCCCGUAUAGCUGGCGUCAAUAUUCCUGAC
The sequence is a regulatory RNA element, 77 nucleotides long. It matches the Rfam family "Alpha operon ribosome binding site". From Rfam's summary of the family: The bacterial alpha operon ribosome binding site is surrounded by this complex pseudoknotted structure. Translation of the mRNA produces 4 ribosomal protein products, one of which (S4) acts as a translational repressor by binding to the nested pseudoknot region. The record is from Rfam.